RNAcentral lists this transfer RNA (94 nucleotides) under Candidatus Omnitrophota bacterium. RNAcentral's name for it is "tRNA-Ser". It matches the Rfam family "tRNA". From Rfam's summary of the family: Transfer RNA (tRNA) molecules are approximately 80 nucleotides in length. Their secondary structure includes four short double-helical elements and three loops (D, anti-codon, and T loops). Lineage: Bacteria; Pseudomonadati; Candidatus Omnitrophota. The record is from RNAcentral.
GGAGGGGUGCGAGAGCCUGGUUUAAUCGGCACGCCUGGAGAGCGUGUGUCCGGCUGAAACUGGACCGAGGGUUCGAAUCCCUCCCCCUCCGCCA